Molecule: transfer RNA, 85 nt
Filed under: Felis catus (domestic cat)
Lineage: Eukaryota; Metazoa; Chordata; Mammalia; Carnivora; Felidae
Rfam family: tRNA
About the family: Transfer RNA (tRNA) molecules are approximately 80 nucleotides in length. Their secondary structure includes four short double-helical elements and three loops (D, anti-codon, and T loops).
Source: Rfam by way of RNAcentral
GCCUGGGUGGCUCAGUCGGUUGAGCGCCCGGUUCCGGCUCAGGUCCUGACCUCGCGGUUCGCGUGUUCGAGCCCCGCCCUGGGCU